Acanthaster planci (crown-of-thorns starfish) is the source of this 2737-nucleotide long non-coding RNA. Lineage: Eukaryota; Metazoa; Echinodermata; Asteroidea; Valvatida; Acanthasteridae. The record is from RefSeq and is a predicted model, not a curated record.
GCGAACAGGUGAUUGUGUGAAUAAGUCUAUUGUAGCAUCAUCGGAGGGAUACGGCGUGCUAUGUUGUUAGCAGUAUGGGGGAUGGAGUACGUGUAGUGAAGACAGGUUGAGCGUCAGAGAUGUGCCCACCACAAGAAAUGGACACCUAAUGGUGUCGUGUUCCCUUUUUUCUCUUUCAUGUUCAGGAUCGCAUGACGCAAACGCACAGAACAUAGUGUCUGUGUUUUGAUGUCCAGAAAAUUGACGUAUCGAGCUUCUGGAUAGAUGGCCGAAUCAAGCUGAAGACACUGUUUUUUCUCUUUUCAGGUUCAGGAUUGUAUGACACAAGUGUUCGACAAAGGAAAAAAAACGUACAGAACCUGAUAGUGUCUGUGUUUUGAUGUCCAGAAAAAUGAUGUAUGGAGCUUCUGGACAGAUAGCCGAAUCAAGCUGAAGACACUGGUUAGUUUGCUUCGACGACAACUGUUACAUUGAAAAAAAGUCACCCUAAUUUUAUUUGUUUAAUCCAAAUAUGAUCAAAACUGUUCACAAUUUUCCCCAAACAAAACAGGUACCGAAGCUACAUUUUCUUUAAUUUCGAGGGAAUUUUCAUGGUUUUUCUUCAUAGCAGUUCGUGCGCUAGACCUUACUUGCCGUCGUUUUUGUCGCGUUCGUCCCGUCGUUUCGUUAGCUCUCGGUUUUCUUCUUGUUUCGUUGACCUGCGGAUUUCAAUUUAAUUACUUUGUUAGCUGUUUCAAGAUGGUGUCUAUUGAUUCAUAGGGUAUGGAUGCGCAAAGCAGGAGGAAGUGAUCGGAAAAUGACUGGUCACUUAACAAUGAGACGUGCCUCACUAAAGUGCAUAAGAUAAGUAAGUUUUCAGUUUUAGCAAAACUUUUUGGCCUCUUCAACGAAAGGUGAGAUAUUAAGUUUCUUUUUUCUCUUCGUGCUUUCUUUUCCAUGGCGUAUUGUUGGCUUCCACUAUUUGUGUUUGAUUGUCGUUUUGCAGGUUGUUUCUUUUUUAUGCGUCUUUUGUAUUUUCGUCUUCUUUCUUUUGACAAAAGAAACAAGUUCAUUUGUCAUCAUUAACUCCGAUGAGCAGAUGUACGAUUCUGACGAUGGAGGAAGCUGACUGUAGACAACUGAUCAAUCAACUCGAACUGCGAAUAAAGUUAAGGAGUUCUGCUUUAGAUAUCCAUGUUCGUUUCCGAUGGUAGCUUUUAUGGCUGUGUGUGUCGUUCGCGCAGUUUUUGAUAUGUGCUCAUGGUUUUUCUCGUUUACUUUCUGUCUUUUGAGGCCCGAAACUGUGACCAGGGAGUAAAAUGACAAGGACCGGACACAGGACUUCGACUGGGACUAAAUCCAGGAAGCAAGUUAUUACCUAGUGGGUGAACUUGGCAUGACCACCGAAGAUAAUGCGACAAUCCAUUCCGAUUGGGUAUAUGUUUGCGAAGAAUAGAGACAUUCGAAGACAACGCAUCGGUCUACACUUUCCAUCUUGGAGUUAUCGGAGCAUUAUGGUUGGAGAAUUUCAUUACGUAAUAGUUAGAUUGCUUUAUUUUGUUGCCAACUUAUUUUUUUCCAUAAAGUAUGCACUGUAAGAUGUACACACAUUGUGCGAUAUAAUGUUAUUAUCAAGAGUCUUUUGUGAUCUGGCAAAAGUAAAGAAACUCACUUUUAAAAUGUAAAGGCACGAUGGACCAUGAAAACAGUUUAAUUUCAUUUUUGUUUGAAUAGAGUUUUCAAGACUUUCUACUACCAUUAGCAGUUUCCAAAACAAUUUCGUGUGCACCCGAGGUUUAUGGUCAUCGGGCUCGGUCAGAUUGGUGCUUGGUUGCUGUGGUGUCGGACUCAAGAGAUGCGGAGUUUUGUGAAAGGAGGGCUCUACUCGUUUGCCUCCAUCAGCCAACCACAAGACGGCACUGACUUCAUUCCAGUUAUCAAUGAGCAUAUUCCCAAUAGCAAAACAAUCAGACUAAUGCUGGACUUAGAAAAUGAGCAGUGCUAUUUUAUAGUUUGUGUUAAAGAACCCAUUGACAGGUAGUUGGUUUUCCCGAUAUAUUUCGAUUUACAAACAUCUAGAGGAAUGUACUAGGAGUAAUAGGUAUAAGCGAUUUUAGAUGGGAACAAUGAAACUUGGACGAAAUUGAAGCAUGCGUAACUAUUUCUUAGUAUCAGAAAUCGAAGGAUGAAUGUUACAUUUGACAUAGGCAACAAUCCUCAAAAGUUCAUUCACCCUAACACAACCACUUAAUACUAACACCAACACUGACUGCCAUUACUUAUUACUCCACCAUCCACCAAGGACACAGUGCUAAAUUAUUGCCUAAUGCAAAUGAAACAUUCAUAUUCAGAAAUUCUUUAGUAGAUGAGUAAAAGCAUUAACUGCAAGACUACAUCCUCUGAGUUUCAGUGUUCCCCCCAUUUCAAUGUAGUGUUACACUGAAAGUACACUGUAUGCCUACUUUGUAUUAUCGUAUAAGCUUGGAAAUGUAUUUAUGCCAAAGAAUAAAAUGUCAAGUAAUGUACCACAGCUUGCAUUGAGAUCUACAUGUAUACCUGGCUUCUUCAGGUGACGUAUAUUCCCGUUCUCAUAUUCUUGUUGCAGCUGAUGGUUAUUUAAAUAUAUCCAUGUAUGGGCGUCGCCAUUUUGUCGGGGAUUUUUUGGGGGAGCAUUCAUCAGCAUCGAACUGAUAAACGAUAAACAUUGGAAUGCGGCUAUUUUAAGGGGUUUUAUUUUAAAUACAUUUUGGUGAUUUUC